RNAcentral lists this ribosomal RNA (440 nucleotides) under uncultured bacterium. RNAcentral's name for it is "partial 16S ribosomal RNA". It matches the Rfam family "Bacterial small subunit ribosomal RNA", at positions 338 to 795 of the family's 1533-position model. The record is from RNAcentral.
CCUACGGGUGGCAGCAGUGGGGAAUAUUGCACAAUGGGGGAAACCCUGAUGCAGCGACGCCGCGUGAGUGAAGAAGUAAUUCGUUAUGUAAAGCUCUAUCAGCAGGGAAGAAAAUGACGGUACCUGAGUAAGAAGCCCCGGCUAACUACGUGCCAGCAGCCGCGGUAAUACGUAGGGGGCAAGCGUUAUCCGGAUUUACUGGGUGGAAAGGGAGCGUAGACGGCAGGGCAAGUCUGGAGUGAAAGGCGGGGGCUCAACCCCCGGACUGCUCUGGAAACUGUACGGCUGGAGUGCAGGAGAGGUAAGUGGAAUUCCUAGUGUAGAGGUGAAAUGCGUAGCUAUUAGGAGGAACACCAGUGGCGAAGGCGGCUUACUGGACUGUAACUGACGUUGAGACUCGAAAGCGUGGGGAGCAAACAGGAUUAGAUACCCUUGUAGUC